AAACCACACCGUUUAUGUUUACCGUGAUAAAGUAAUUGGUUAGAGCCUCGGCUCUUUCUUAUAGUUGAUUUCUGUUCAGAUUAUUAUUAUUUACUACAUCCAUUAUAUCUCUAGCCCUCUGAUAUGCUUAGCACCUAUGUCACUUUGCGUCUUCAAUGAUGAUUCAUGUCCUCUGAUACUGUUUAGGUUUUCUGUCUGUUUUUAUUAAGCUCUUAAUGGCGAGUCUAGCUCUAUUUCACUACUUUAAGGCCAUGAACUUCUUCGUUACUGUGGCUAUUAUGCAAUUAUUGAGAUGCCAAACCUUCACAAUUAUGUGAAAUGUCAAAUUCGAGCUAUUUUAAGUUUAUUAUUCUUAGUAAAUAUGUUUUGUGUUUGUUCGAAAUAAUUAUGCAUUUUUCAUUUUCAAGGAAUCACAUUUAAAUUCUUUGUAAGGGCUAUUCUUUACAAGCUGUGAGCUGAUAUACUUCUCGCGCUGUUUAGUGUUUUCUGUAGUUUGAGAUAUGUGAUGAUCCAAAUGUUGAAAGAAAAUCAUGUGACAGUGAAACUCAUUUUAUUAGUUGAUAUUUUAGCAAACAGUUGAACUGCAAAUUCUAAGAAUUGGGGAAGAAUGGGAGAUAUUUGUGCUACCUUAAAUGGAUUGUGAGUAUGAUGAAAUUUCUAUUUAAUUCACCGUACUAUUAUUAUUCAUCUUGAGUCUUCUCUUGUGAAUUUUAACUGUAGUCUUGUACUAGGGUUUUGGGAUUAAAGCAUGCUGGUUGUGAUUUGUGGAAGCAAUUCUUGGUUUUCCUUAUUUGUGAGCAUGAACCAGAUCAGAAACAUUUUUUUUUAAAUAUACUGACCACGCACAAACAGACCCACUUGGUAUCUAUGACAAACUCAGUAUAUUCUGAACCAUAAGAGAGCAAAAAUGGCAAUUGAAAAGAUACUUGGUGGAGAAUAAAAAGGGUUCACCUUCUCAUGUAAUAUAUUACUAGUGGAUUUUCGUGAUCGGAUGUAUAGAUGAAAUGAGCAUAGAAGAAUAACAAAAAAAAAAUUAAAAUAAUAGAAAUUAAAAAUACAUUUUUAACUCCAAGCUGUUAGGUGGAGCUAACAAUUUCAAUUACUAUUUCUAUGUGGCUAAAAAUUACAGAGACUAAGGAGACCUUUUGUUUCCCCAAGUAUUCGAUUCCUGUGCUCUUUUUUAGUACAAAUUAUAUUGUUUUGCAAAAUGAAUUUCUCUAUCUUUUUUUUUCCCUUCGAUUCUUUUAUUUAUUUAUUUAUUUAUUCUUUUGAUUGGUUCGAAUUGAAUCUCUCAAUUGGGUUAUAGAGAUUGGGCAACUGUUUAAAAGAACCACCAUUCAAUGUGUAUCAAUUCUUGACAUCCUUACUACAGUAUCAAUGAAGGAUUAGACUAUUUAUGGAGGAAGUCUUUUCUGAUUAUGGUUGGUUAUGUUUGAGUAAGUUAUGUUCAGGGUUUUUUAUGACGUCAAAAUAGAGUUUGUCCAAUCUUCAAUGUUGUACAAAAGAAGCAAUGGAACAAUUAAGUAUCAACAUAGAGUUUAUCCAAAUCCUAUGUUAAUGCAUGAGAUACUCAUGAAGCUAUUUUGAUUUUUGAGAUUUCUAACGCAAUCAUAAUUGGGGAUAUAGACCUGUGCAUAUACAAACAAUGUGAUCAUCAGGUUAUAAACAUUGUCUUUAUUAUUUGCUCCUCUACUGCUGAUACCAAAAUCAAUAACUCGUUUUUUGAUGUGAGGAGCUUUAUUACAUCUGCAGUAUUCCUUCUUUUGUCAUUGAUCUAUGGCUUUUAAAGAGGCCAUUCAAUUUGGCUCCCUGUGCUGAUGAGUUGAGGACAUCACCUCUUCAAAGCAAGGGAAACGAAUGUAGAUCAUUUUCUAUUAAUGAUUAAGAGUAGUCAAGGUAGGAUGGGGAUGUUCAUUGUAAUUCAUUGAAGGCAGACAGCUCUGAGUCAAUGAUUGCCAUAUAAUUAAGUAUAUUGCUUUUUCCUCAUAUGGGCCCAUCACUUUUGGAAACAAUGGAUGCAUGGGUCGGAUGUAAAGAUAAGACAUGCAAUGAAACUUCAUUUUUCAGUGAAAUAAAUAUAUGGGGUUCUCAAAUGUGGUAAUAAUUGCCAAUUUUCAUUGUCCAUACUUCGCCUCUGAAGGACUUGUUCUUACGUGGUGAAGUAUUUAUGUUAGUGUGUUAAAGCAAUAAGAUAUUCUGUGGUCAAGCAGUCACAUGCGUUGACAUUGCAUCAAUUUGCAAGGAUGUGGGCUUUAAGUGUGUCUACAGAAAUUUCUUUUUGAUCUCUUGUUUGUUCAUACUUUAGUUUUAGCUCCAAGUAAUGUGUUAACUUGAUCUAGAAGAUGAAUCUCUAGAAGCGAAAGAGUUUCAUUAGAUUAAUGAUGUAUUUUGGGAUGUCAACGUUUUAAGAAAUUUUAAUCAAAUUCACAUGAGAAUUUCUUUGAGUGUCGUUCCAUCUUCUAAACAUAUGCUGAAACUUGCUUUCCCUCAAAUAUGGCAAUGACAAAGCAAUCUCAAGAAGUUCAUGCAUCUUUGUCCAAUCCAGUAGCUGAUGAGGAGUGGAUGUUAUUGAAAAGGAGAAAUUAAAAUUGCUAUUGGACCAUGCUAAUUUUCGGUUGUUUUUCCGUACUCCGAUUGGUUCCAUAUUGUGCAUAAUAAUCGAUGUAUGCAGGACAAUGCUAGGAGAAGUGUCAAACAUCAUUUGUACAUUAAAGAAAGAGGAUGAUCUGUGAUUGUUAAGAGGUUUAUAUGGCGAUUCCGAAUACUUUGAUAUAGUGAUAGAUUGAGAUCAAUGCGCCUCAUCAUUUUGAAGCAUAUGUGCUAAAUCAAAAGCACUAUAUUGGAGGGUUGGUGAGCUAUGGAGGUGCUAGAUUUGAAAUUUUACAUAUAUAUUGAUACAUUGUACCCUUCUAAUGAAGACUACAAAUUGGCGAUCAAAGAAUUCAAGUGUUUCAUUUCUGUUUUUUUUUUUUUAGAUUGUCGGAUGCCUAAAAGAGAAAGACAAACACUUUUAUGCUUUAUUAUCUUUACCUGUACAAACUCAAAAAAAUCCUCAAAUGUUACGCUUCUUAUUAGAGGCUUGGUACUUUAUAGAAUAUGUACUUCUAUGCAGGUUACUUUAGUAUAUGACGGUCAGACGACCUUCUCUUGCUUUGGGUGAACAUUCUCCUUUAUCUAUAUUGAAAGUACGAUUCUUUGAAACCACAACUAGUGAAGGGCAGUGAUAUAUUAUUUACCUUCUUAGGAAAGAAGGAUAAUGAAAAGGAGACAAGGAGAAUACUCGCCAGGUCAACACAUACGAUCUGCAUCUCUCAUUUUAGGCUUUCAGUGAUGCAUGAACACUAAAAAGUAUGUGCCCUUUUGCUUGGUUUCAUAUCUGUGGUCUUUGAUAAAGGGGAACAUGUAUUUGUCUUCCUUUUGGGGGUAGGUUAGCAUGGGAUUCAAACAUGAUAUGUAGCUGCAAUGGUCAACACCAUGACCCAUCAGGCCACUCCAUGAAUUCCAAAUGGGUGCACACAUCCAAAACAUUUGUUCUGACCAUCUAAAAUUUGGAGGACGCAACUUGGAGAUAAGUUUCCAAUUUAGCACUUCCCUCGGCUAGCCAUUCUUCAUUAUUAUAUUCUGUGCAUAGUCAGUGUUUCUGCAAUAUAUUGUAGACCUUUAUUUAAAGCUCUUACUCAUAGGUGACCAUGGUUGCUCUUUGUUAAAACUUGAUGCCUCGGAUCUUUUUAUCAUCUUAGUCUUGAAUGUCCAGUCUUGAUUUCCAUUCUCAUUCACUCCUCAUCCUAACUCCUAAGCUUUGCCCCCUUCUUCCUUAAAACUUACUACUAUAGAAGGGGCAGAAAAUGAGAUUGGGGGGAGAGAGAGAGGGGCAGAAAAUGAGAUUGAGGAGAG
Molecule: long non-coding RNA, 3894 nt
Filed under: Amborella trichopoda
Lineage: Eukaryota; Viridiplantae; Streptophyta; Magnoliopsida; Amborellales; Amborellaceae
Description: long non-coding RNA (ATRI_LNC003828)
Source: RNAcentral